AUUGAACGCUGGCGGCAUGCCUUACACAUGCAAGUCGAACGGCAGCGCGGGCUUCGGCCUGGCGGCGAGUGGCGAACGGGUGAGUAAUGCAUCGGAACGUGCCCAGUAGUGGGGGAUAGCCCGGCGAAAGCCGGAUUAAUACCGCAUACGACCUGAGGGUGAAAGCGGGGGACCGAAAGGCCUCGCGCUAUUGGAGCGGCCGAUGUCGGAUUAGCUAGUUGGUGGGGUAAAGGCUUACCAAGGCGACGAUCCGUAGCUGGUCUGAGAGGACGACCAGCCACACUGGGACUGAGACACGGCCCAGACUCCUACGGGAGGCAGCAGUGGGGAAUUUUGGACAAUGGGGGCAACCCUGAUCCAGCCAUGCCGCGUGCGGGAAGAAGGCCUUCGGGUUGUAAACCGCUUUUGUUCGGGAAGAAAGCCUCUGGGCUAAUACCCCGGGGGGAUGACGGUACCGGAAGAAUAAGCACCGGCUAACUACGUG
RNAcentral lists this ribosomal RNA (484 nucleotides) under uncultured bacterium. RNAcentral describes it as "partial 16S ribosomal RNA". It matches the Rfam family "Bacterial small subunit ribosomal RNA", at positions 28 to 507 of the family's 1533-position model. The record is from RNAcentral.